This 402-nucleotide ribosomal RNA is filed under the name Enterococcus faecium. RNAcentral's name for it is "bacterial SSU rRNA". It matches the Rfam family "Bacterial small subunit ribosomal RNA", at positions 232 to 626 of the family's 1533-position model. The record is from RNAcentral. Lineage: Bacteria; Bacillati; Bacillota; Bacilli; Lactobacillales; Enterococcaceae.
CGCGGUGCAUUAGCUAGUUGGUGAGGUAACGGCUCACCAAGGCCACGAUGCAUAGCCGACCUGAGAGGGUGAUCGGCCACAUUGGGACUGAGACACGGCCCAAACUCCUACGGGAGGCAGCAGUAGGGAAUCUUCGGCAAUGGACGAAAGUCUGACCGAGCAACGCCGCGUGAGUGAAGAAGGUUUUCGGAUCGUAAAACUCUGUUGUUAGAGAAGAACAAGGAUGAGAGUAACUGUUCAUCCCUUGACGGUAUCUAACCAGAAAGCCACGGCUAACUACGUGCCAGCAGCCGCGGUAAUACGUAGGUGGCAAGCGUUGUCCGGAUUUAUUGGGCGUAAAGCGAGCGCAGGCGGUUUCUUAAGUCUGAUGUGAAAGCCCCCGGCUCAACCGGGGAGGGUCAU